AGUAACGCGUGGGUAACCUGCCCUUAAGUCUGGGAUACCAUUUGGAAACAGAUGCUAAUACCGGAUAAAAGCUACUUUCGCAUGAAAGAAGUUUAAAAGGCGGCGUAAGCUGUCGCUAAAGGAUGGACCUGCGAUGCAUUAGCUAGUUUGUAAGGUAACGGCUUACCAAGGCGAUGAUGCAUAGCCGAGUUGAGAGACUGAUCGGCCACAUUGGGACUGAGACACGGCCCAAACUCCUACGGGAGGCAGCAGCU
Molecule: ribosomal RNA, 254 nt
Filed under: uncultured Lactobacillus sp.
Lineage: Bacteria; Bacillati; Bacillota; Bacilli; Lactobacillales; Lactobacillaceae
Description: partial 16S ribosomal RNA
Rfam family: Bacterial small subunit ribosomal RNA
Source: RNAcentral